AAGUCGAACGAUGAAACUUAAAUGAUUUCUUCGGAAUGAACUUAAGUGGAUUAGUGGCGGACGGGUGAGUAACGCGUGAGUAACCUGCCUUACACAAGGGGAUAGCCGUUGGAAACGACGAAUAAUACCCUAUGAAACUAUCACUUCGCAUGAAGCGAUAGUCAAAGUGUUAGCGGUGUAAGAUGGACUUGCGUCUGAUUAGCUAGUUGGUGAGAAAAAAGCCCACCAAGGCAACGAUCAGUAGCCGGCUUGAGAGAGUGUACGGCCACAUUGGGACUGAGACACGGCCCAGACUCCUACGGGAGGCAGCAGUGGGGAAUUUUGCACAAUGGGGGAAACCCUGAUGCAGCGACGCCGCGUGAUUUAGAAGGCCUUCGGGUUGUAAAAAUCUUUUGUAUAGGAAGAAAAUGACAGUACUAUACGAAUAAGGUCCGGCUAAUUACGUGCCAGCAGCCGCGGUAAUACGUAAGGACCGAGCGUUGUCCGGAAUCAUUGGGCGUAAAGGGUACGUAGGCGGGUCAUUAAGUUAGAAGUCAAAGGCUAUAGCUCAACUAUAGUAAGCUUCUAAAACUGGCGACCUUGAGUAAUGGAAGGGAAAGUGGAAUUCCUAGUGUAGCGGUGGAAUGCGCAGAUAUUAGGAGGAAUACCGGUGGCGAAGG
Molecule: ribosomal RNA, 659 nt
Filed under: uncultured Eubacteriales bacterium
Lineage: Bacteria; Bacillati; Bacillota; Clostridia; Eubacteriales
Description: bacterial SSU rRNA
Rfam family: Bacterial small subunit ribosomal RNA
Source: RNAcentral